RNAcentral lists this ribosomal RNA (540 nucleotides) under Triticum aestivum (bread wheat). RNAcentral describes it as "partial small subunit ribosomal RNA". Lineage: Eukaryota; Viridiplantae; Streptophyta; Magnoliopsida; Poales; Poaceae. The record is from RNAcentral.
AUGCAUAAGGGUAGGUUUGAAACUACUCAAGAAAGAGUAAAGAAGAGACUAGUUGAUUGGAGUGAGCAAUUUAUGUCCUCUGGUAACAAGGAAAUAUUAAUUAAAUCGGUGGCACAUGCAAUACCGACUUACGUUAUGAGUGUUUUCCGCUUACCUGCAUCGGUUUGUGAUGAUCUUACCAAAUUGAUGAGACAGAAUUGGUGGGGAGUUGAAAGAGGUAAAAGGAAGAUGGCUUGGCUGAGUUGGGACAAACUAAGGCUGCCUAAGAGUAAGGAUGGCAUGGGCUUCAGAGACAUGCGUGCGUUUAACCAGGCCUUGAUUGCAAAGCAAGCUUGGAGAUUAUUAGAGUUCCUUGAUAGUCUUUGUGCUCGACUAUUAAAAGCUGGAUACUAUCCUCAUGGCAGUCUGUUGGAUACAGUUUUUACUGGAAAUUCGUCUGCGGUUUGGAAAGGUAUUAUGCAUAGACUAGAGCUGGUGAAGAGGGGAAUUAUAUGGAGAAUUGGGGAUGGUAAUUCGGUGAGAACAUGGAGAGAUCCAUGA